CCUACGGGAGGCAGCAGUGAGGAAUAUUGGUCAAUGGUCGGGAGACUGAACCAGCCAAGCCGCGUGAGGGAGGAAGGUACAGAGUAUCGUAAACCUCUUUUGUCAGGGAACAAAGACUGGGACGCGUCCCCGGAUGAGUGUACCUGAAGAAAAAGCAUCGGCUAACUCCGUGCCAGCAGCCGCGGUAAUACGGAGGAUGCGGGCGUUAUCCGGAUUUAUUGGGUUUAAAGGGUGCGCAGGCGGUCUGUUAAGUCAGGGGUCAACGUGGGAAGUGCCUUUGAAACUGGCAGACUGGAGUGUGUGAGAGGAUAGGGGAAUUCGAGGUGUAGGGGUGAAAUGCGUAGAUAUCUGGAGGAACAUCAGUGGCGAAGGCAACUAUCUGGCACAUAACUGACGCUGAGGAGCGAAAGCGUGGGUAGCAAACAGGAUUAGAUACCCGAGUAGUC
RNAcentral lists this ribosomal RNA (446 nucleotides) under uncultured bacterium. Its description in RNAcentral is "partial 16S ribosomal RNA". It matches the Rfam family "Bacterial small subunit ribosomal RNA", at positions 338 to 795 of the family's 1533-position model. The record is from RNAcentral.